Molecule: non-coding RNA, 45 nt
Filed under: Schistosoma haematobium
Lineage: Eukaryota; Metazoa; Platyhelminthes; Trematoda; Strigeidida; Schistosomatidae
Source: RNAcentral
AUCCAGUUGACGAAUCCUAAAUAGGACGAAACACGUGUCUUCGAU